ACAACUGACUGGCGAACGGGUGAGUAACACGUGGGUAACCUGCCCCAAAGCGGGGGAUAACAUUUGGAAACAGAUGCUAAUACCGCAUAACCACAGAAACCACAUGGUUUCUGUGUCAAAGAUGGUUUCGGCUAUCACUUUGGGAUGGACCCGCGGCGUAUUAGCUAGUUGGUGAGGCAAUGGCUCACCAAGGCAAUGAUACGUAGCCGACCUGAGAGGGUAAUCGGCCACAUUGGGACUGAGACACGGCCCAAACUCCUACGGGAGGCAGCAGUAGGGAAUCUUCCACAAUGGACGAAAGUCUGAUGGAGCAACGCCGCGUGAGUGAUGAAGGGUUUCGGCUCGUAAAACUCUGUUGUUGGAGAAGAACGGGUGUCAGAGUAACUGUUGACAUCGUGACGGUAUCCAACCAGAAAGCCACGGCUAACUACGUGCCAGCAGCCGCGGUAAUACGUAGGUGGCAAGCGUUGUCCGGAUUUAUUGGGCGUAAAGCGAGCGCAGGCGGUUUUUUAAGUCUGAUGUGAAAGCCUUCGGCUUAACCGAAGUCGUGCAUUGGAAACUGGGAGACUUGAGUGCAGAAGAGGAGAGUGGAACUCCAUGUGUAGCGGUGAAAUGCGUAGAUAUAUGGAAGAACACCAGUGGCGAAAGCGGCUCUCUGGUCUGUAACUGACGCUGAGGUUCGAAAGCGUGGGUAGCAAACAGGAUUAGAUACCCUGGUAGUCCACGCUGUAAACGAUGAAUGCUAAGUGUUGGGAAGGGUUUCCGCCCUUUCAGUGCCGCAGCAAACGCAUUAAGCA
Molecule: ribosomal RNA, 797 nt
Filed under: uncultured bacterium
Lineage: Bacteria
Description: bacterial SSU rRNA
Rfam family: Bacterial small subunit ribosomal RNA
Source: RNAcentral